Molecule: ribosomal RNA, 459 nt
Filed under: uncultured bacterium
Lineage: Bacteria
Description: partial 16S ribosomal RNA
Rfam family: Bacterial small subunit ribosomal RNA
Source: RNAcentral
CCUACGGGGUGCAGCAGUGAGGAAUAUUGGUCAAUGGGCGAGAGCCUGAACCAGCCAAGUCGCGUGAAGGAUGAAGGAUCUAUGGUUUGUAAACUUCUUUUAUAUGGGAAUAAAGUGAGGAACGUGUUCCUUUUGGUAUGUACCAUAUGAAUAAGCAUCGGCUAACUCCGUGCCAGCAGCCGCGGUAAUACGGAGGAUGCGAGCGUUAUCCGGAUUUAUUGGGUUUAAAGGGUGCGUAGGUGGUUAAUUAAGGCAGCGGUCAAAUUGCGGGGCUCAACCCCGUACUGCCGUUGAAACUGCAUCCCUUGAGUGCGCGAGACGUAUGCGGAAUGCGUGGUGUAGCGGUGAAAUGCAUAGAUAUCACGCAGAACUCCGAUUGCGAAGGCAGCAUACCGGCGCGCAACUGACGCUCAUGCACGAAAGCGUGGGUAUCGAACAGGAUUAGAUACCCUUGUAGUC